GACGAACGCUGGCGGCGUGCUUAACACAUGCAAGUCGAACGGUGAACGAGGGAGCUUGCUCCCUCCGGAUCAGUGGCGAACGGGUGAGUAACACGUGAGCAAUCUGCCCCGAACUCUGGGAUAAGCGUUGGAAACGACGUCUAAUACCGGAUACGACGCGGGAGGGCAUCCUCUCCGCGUGGAAAGAACUUCGGUUCGGGAUGAGCUCGCGGCCUAUCAGCUUGUUGGUGAGGUAACGGCUCACCAAGGCGACGACGGGUAGCCGGCCUGAGAGGGUGACCGGCCACACUGGGACUGAGAAACGGCCCAGACUCCUACGGGAGGCAGCAGUGGGGAAUAUUGCACAAUGGGCGCAAGCCUGAUGCAGCAACGCCGCGUGAGGGAAGACGGCCUUCGGGUUGUAAACCUCUUUUAGCAGGGAAGAAGCGAAAGUGACGGUACCUGCAGAAAAAGCACCGGCUAACUACGUG
This 470-nucleotide ribosomal RNA is filed under the name uncultured bacterium. RNAcentral describes it as "partial 16S ribosomal RNA". It matches the Rfam family "Bacterial small subunit ribosomal RNA", at positions 28 to 507 of the family's 1533-position model. The record is from RNAcentral.